Molecule: long non-coding RNA, 659 nt
Filed under: Arabidopsis lyrata
Lineage: Eukaryota; Viridiplantae; Streptophyta; Magnoliopsida; Brassicales; Brassicaceae
Description: long non-coding RNA (ALYR_LNC002166)
Source: RNAcentral
AGAAAAAAAUAUAGAUUUUUAUGUAUUUGAUAAAUUUUAGAAACAAAAAAUUCAAUAACGAGCAUCUUAAUUAUGAGACUUUAGGGGAAUAUGAGAUAAUAAAGAAAAGAAAAGAAAUUAAAAAAAAAAAACAUGACCCACGUUUCUCUUUCUCACAAAUACAAAGCCCCUAGUAGUAAUUUCCACUCUCUUACACUCUACCCCACUUUCUCUCCUAUCUCACACAAAUCCUAUUACACAAACACUAAUAAUUGACUGUUUCUCUAAUUAUAAAUAGUACUAGUACUACUUUCCCAAUUAUUACUCACAAACGUACUAUAUUGCCAACAAACCCUUAGUUUUAUGGGGGCCUCCCAAAUGAUAAGCAAUAAAUAUUCAUGCAAAAUGUGUAUAAAUACACACACAAAUCGGCCACACCUCUUCGAACACUCAUCAUCACUUUGGUCGGCCGCUUUCUUCCUUCCUUCCUCCUCAUAUAAUCUACACACAUAUAACAUCCCUCUUAAUUUCUCAGUGGAUCCAUUAUAUUGAGACAUAUAUCAUAAGAAAAUGGUACCAUACCAAGAACUCUCUCUUCAGAGAAGCUUCAGCUACAACUCGAGAAAGAUCAAUCCAGUGACUUCUCCGGCGCGUAGCUCACACGUCCGUUCUCCUUCUUC